Molecule: ribosomal RNA, 412 nt
Filed under: uncultured bacterium
Lineage: Bacteria
Description: bacterial SSU rRNA
Rfam family: Bacterial small subunit ribosomal RNA
Source: RNAcentral
GAACGAGAAAGUGGAGCAAUCCAUGAGUAAAGUGGCGCACGGGUGAGUAACACGUGACUAACCUACCUUUUAGUGGGGGAUAACCUAGGGAAACCUGGGCUAAUACCGCAUAAUACUUACGAGUCAAAGCAGCAAUGCGCUGAAAGAGGGGGUCGCGGUCGAUUAGUUCGUUGGCAGGGUAAUGGCCUACCAAGACUGUGAUCGAUAUCCGGCCUGAGAGGGCGCACGGACACACUGGAACUGAAACACGGUCCAGACUCCUACGGGAGGCAGCAGUGGGGAAUUUUGCGCAAUGGGGGAAACCCUGACGCAGCAACGCCGCGUGGAGGAUGAAGUCCCUUGGGACGUAAACUCCUUUCGAUCGGGACGAUAAUGACGGUACCGGAAGAAGAAGCCCCGGCUAACUUCGUGC